Molecule: long non-coding RNA, 1204 nt
Organism: Dendrobium catenatum
Lineage: Eukaryota; Viridiplantae; Streptophyta; Magnoliopsida; Asparagales; Orchidaceae
Exons: 2
Source: RefSeq, a predicted model, not a curated record
AUUAAUCAAGAAGCUUCUUUAAAUUCAGAAAAACUUAUCAGCACAUUUUUUUAGCAACAAAUAUAAUAUGGGCUAAGGGGACUAAAUUGUGAUUACAAAUUGAAAGGAAGCAAUCUGUUAGUAAUAUAAUAUUAUAUAGAAUGAGGAAACUAAAAUGAAAUUCUUGAAUUUUUUAUGUUCUUGGAGCGUGAAAUGGAGUAAAGACAAAAUUUCUAGAAAUGAAAGAUAAUGCUUGUCUGAUGGUCAUGAUGUGACAACCGAUUCUUCCGGCCGGUUCCGGCUCACCCUUUUAAUACCCACAAACAGAAGAGUCGCGGAACAGAGCCGUUCGCACGAACAAAGAAAAGGGCGGACGACCGAGGGCUUCGUGGGAGAGCGAGGUAAGUUUCGUUUUCCAAUUUUAGCGAAUAAUCUUCUUCGAUGAUAAGAAUCGAUCAUUCCUUUUCUUUCUCACGGUUAAAGAAGUACUAUUUUGGGAGAAUUUACAUCGAGAGGGAAGAAACGAUCGAGAAAAAAAUAAGGAAAAAUGUUUGUUGAAUUUCUUUCGGAUUUUCCUAUAAAUUUCUUUUCCUACUUCGUUUAAAGUGAGCGAUAUAUUUCUUGAAGGAUAGGGAAGAGAUUGUAGCGAAGAAAAAGGGAAUUGGGAGAGAAGGGAUUUUGGGAGUUUGAGAAGUUCUCAAUUGUUUUAGAAAGUGAAAGAUCAAGUUGUAUGCAUUGAUCCCGUGAGAAUUCAACUGGAAGAAGGGAAAUUGAUUCAAGGUUAUAUCAAGCAUCGACGACCUGAAAAGUUCAAAGUGGGUAUUUAUAAUAGUUUAAAUUUCUUUAUUUCAAUUCUAUUUUCAUUUAGAAAGAAGUAUAUGUGAAAUUGUUUAGAUUUAUGAUUGCUCCUACUUUUGGAGAAAUGAUUAACUAAAAUAAGCAACGACAUGUAUGAGUACAAUUAUGGAAAAGAAAAAUGAUAUGUAAUGAGUAUAUCAAAGAAAUAGAAAAUAAAGUUUAGAAAGAAAACAUACACAUGUAUAUGAUUCGUAUAUGCAAAUGAUAAGUAAUAUUUAUAGAUAUACAAGUAAAAUAUGUUGUAUGCAAUUGUAUCAAUAAUGAUGAAAAUGAGAAAAGAAAAGAAAAGAGAAUAAAGGAAAAGGGUAUUGAAAACGACAGGAGUCACCACCUUAUGGUACUGGCUGGGGACGCCGUACUCGUGCAC